This 491-nucleotide ribosomal RNA is filed under the name uncultured bacterium. Its description in RNAcentral is "partial 16S ribosomal RNA". It matches the Rfam family "Bacterial small subunit ribosomal RNA", at positions 29 to 507 of the family's 1533-position model. The record is from RNAcentral.
AGUGAACGCUGGCGGUAGGCCUAACACAUGCAAGUCGAACGGCAGCACAGUAAGAGCUUGCUCUUACGGGUGGCGAGUGGCGGACGGGUGAGGAAUACAUCGGAAUCUACUUUUUCGUGGGGGAUAACGUAGGGAAACUUACGCUAAUACCGCAUACGACCUACGGGUGAAAGCAGGGGAUCUUCGGACCUUGCGCGAUUGAAUGAGCCGAUGUCGGAUUAGCUAGUUGGCGGGGUAAAGGCCCACCAAGGCGACGAUCCGUAGCUGGUCUGAGAGGAUGACCAGCCACACUGGAACUGAGACACGGUCCAGACUCCUACGGGAGGCAGCAGUGGGGAAUAUUGACAAUGGGCGCAAGCCUGAUCCAGCCAUACCGCGUGGGUGAAGAAGGCCUUCGGGUUGUAAAGCCCUUUUGUUGGGAAAGAAAAGCAGCAGGUUAAUACCCCGCUGUUCUGACGGUACCCAAAGAAUAAGCACCGGCUAACUUCGUG